AAUUUUGCUAGCUUUCAAAGCACCGGCUGAGCACACGUCUUCCCACCCUCAUGAAAAUUGCAUCAUGUGAUGCGUACCAGGAGAUAAGGCUUGAAAACCAGGUGGUGCCCACAAUUUGGACUCCUGCUCUUCUACCAUAUGCCCGGAUGGUAUCCGUCACCCUCAGUAUGGUGAUCUGAUUUGGAGAAUCAAUUCCUAAAGUGGACAAUCCAUUUCUAUUUAUUGGUCGGGAGCAAUCACCGAGCGCGUCUCCCCCGACUUCGACACGCCCUUCAUUCCAUUUCCCAGACAUUUCGGGCAGGUGGGGCAGGUAACCCCUGGACAUCCGCAUCUGUAACAGAAGAGAUUACGCUGUGGGACUGGACACUCGAAAUACGUAUGCCCGGAGGCUUGACAGUUCCAACAGAUUCAACUACAAAUAUUUAAUAAUAAAAAAAACUUUAAAAUUACAAAAUUAAAUUUAAUGUUUUAUAAUGCAUUGCUUUUUUUCAACACAUUGGAAAAUAAUAAAAAAAAUGAAUUUGAAAAUUUGCCUGGGUCUAACCUUAAAUUUGUUAUGUCCUACUUUAGAAAUUCCUCACCAGUUAGAGCUCCUCCUAGUAAUUAUUUCUAAUGGACUAACU
Musca vetustissima is the source of this 623-nucleotide long non-coding RNA. RefSeq lists it as uncharacterized. The record is from RefSeq and is a predicted model, not a curated record. The transcript has 3 exons. Lineage: Eukaryota; Metazoa; Arthropoda; Insecta; Diptera; Muscidae.